Molecule: transfer RNA, 74 nt
Filed under: Alosa alosa (allis shad)
Lineage: Eukaryota; Metazoa; Chordata; Actinopteri; Clupeiformes; Clupeidae
Description: tRNA-OTHER
Source: RNAcentral
GCAGUCGUGGCCUACUGGUUAGCGCUUCGGACUUGUAACCGGAGGGUUGCCGGUUCGAACCCCGACCAAUAGGC